This 425-nucleotide long non-coding RNA is filed under the name Elaeis guineensis (African oil palm). Its description in RNAcentral is "long non-coding RNA (EGUI_LNC048124)". The record is from RNAcentral. Lineage: Eukaryota; Viridiplantae; Streptophyta; Magnoliopsida; Arecales; Arecaceae.
AGUUCAUCUGUAAUUCAGUCCCUUUAUCGUGAGUCCUGACUAUAUGGCAGGUCAUGGAUAAAUCGUCAAACCUCAUCAUCAGUCAUAUGAUAGAUUCGAUCAGCUCAAGUCCAAUUGUGAUCAUUAUAAAAAAAAUUUUCAUCAAUUAUACUGCUGUGGCCACAGACUCUUAGAUUUAGCCUCUCAAAUCUCAUAGGGCUACUUGUUUCUAUCAAGGUCGAUAGAUUCUAUCUUGAUGCGCAUCCUACUCCUACAGUGGAUCAAUUAUCACCAAUAUCCACUACAAGGGCUCAUUGAGAUCAUGUUUAUGUGUCAGUCAAACUUUAGUAGUUCACUACGAGCAGUCAUAUCAUCGCAGGUCAAAAGACCAUUCACACAACUACAGCAUCGAAACAAUUACUGACGAUCGAGUAAAAAUCUAAAUG